GGAUUGUGGCUCAGUGAUAGAGUGCUCGCCUCACACAUAUGAGACCCUGGGUUCGAUCCUCAGCACCA
RNAcentral lists this transfer RNA (68 nucleotides) under Marmota monax (woodchuck). RNAcentral describes it as "tRNA.Val". Lineage: Eukaryota; Metazoa; Chordata; Mammalia; Rodentia; Sciuridae. The record is from RNAcentral.